UACGAGGGGGGCAAGCGUUGUUCGGAAUUAUUGGGCGUAAAGGGCGCGUAGGCGGUGCGGUAAGUCACCUGUGAAAACUCUGGGCUCAACUCAGAGCCUGCAGGCGAAACUGCCGUGCUUGAGUGUGGGAGAGGUGCGUGGAAUUCCCAGUGUAGAGGUGAAAUUCGUAGAUAUUGGGAAGAACACCGGUGGCGAAGGCGGCUCACUGGCUCGUAUCUGACGCUCAGGCGCGACAGCGUGGGGAUCAAACAGG
This 253-nucleotide ribosomal RNA is filed under the name uncultured bacterium. Its description in RNAcentral is "partial 16S ribosomal RNA". It matches the Rfam family "Bacterial small subunit ribosomal RNA", at positions 524 to 776 of the family's 1533-position model. The record is from RNAcentral.